UACGUAGGGGGCAAGCGUUGUCCGGAAUCAUUGGGCGUAAAGCGCGUGUAGGCGGCCAGGUAAGUCCGUUCUGAAAGCCCGGGGCUCAACCCCGGGAGGCGGAUGGAUACUGCUUGGCUCGAGUCCGGAAGAGGCGAGUGGAAUUCCCGGUGUAGUGGUGAAAUGCGCAGAUAUCGGGAGGAACACCAAUGGCGAAGGCAGCUCGCUGGGACGGUACUGACGCUGAGACGCGAAAGCGUGGGGAGCAAACAGG
This 253-nucleotide ribosomal RNA is filed under the name uncultured bacterium. RNAcentral's name for it is "partial 16S ribosomal RNA". It matches the Rfam family "Bacterial small subunit ribosomal RNA", at positions 524 to 776 of the family's 1533-position model. The record is from RNAcentral.